AGUGAACGCUGGCGGUAGGCCUAACACAUGCAAGUCGAACGGCAGCACAGUAAGAGCUUGCUCUUACGGGUGGCGAGUGGCGGACGGGUGAGGAAUACAUCGGAAUCUACUUUUUCGUGGGGGAUAACGUAGGGAAACUUACGCUAAUACCGCAUACGACCUACGGGUGAAAGCAGGGGAUCUUCGGACCUUGCGCGAUUGAAUGAGCCGAUGUCGGAUUAGCUAGUUGGCGGGGUAAAGGCCCACCAAGGCGACGAUCCGUAGCUGGUCUGAGAGGAUGAUCAGCCACACUGGAACUGAGACACGGUCCAGACUCCUACGGGAGGCAGCAGUGGGGAAUAUUGGACAAUGGGCGCAAGCCUGAUCCAGCCAUACCGCGUGGGUGAAGAAGGCCUUCGGGUUGUAAAGCCCUUUUCUUGGGAAAGAAAAGCAGCAGGUUAAUACCCCGCUGUUCUGACGGUACCCAAAGAAUAAGCACCGGCUAACUUCGUG
This 492-nucleotide ribosomal RNA is filed under the name uncultured bacterium. RNAcentral describes it as "partial 16S ribosomal RNA". It matches the Rfam family "Bacterial small subunit ribosomal RNA", at positions 29 to 507 of the family's 1533-position model. The record is from RNAcentral.